Molecule: small RNA, 150 nt
Filed under: Actinopolymorpha singaporensis
Lineage: Bacteria; Bacillati; Actinomycetota; Actinomycetes; Propionibacteriales; Actinopolymorphaceae
Description: c-di-AMP sequence
Rfam family: c-di-AMP riboswitch aptamer (ydaO/yuaA leader)
About the family: This family represents a conserved RNA structure found upstream of the ydaO and yuaA genes in Bacillus subtilis and related genes in other bacteria.
Source: Rfam by way of RNAcentral
UGUCGUCAGACCCGGUACUUCCAUCGGGCGGAGACGGAGGAACCACAUACGGACCCGGUGACGGGUCCUGGGGUGAAGCCGCCUCGGCGGCCGGGCACUUCCUCUCGCCCGAAUCCGACAGCUAACUCCGCAGGCGACGGGAGGGAACCG